This 85-nucleotide transfer RNA is filed under the name Felis catus (domestic cat). It matches the Rfam family "tRNA". From Rfam's summary of the family: Transfer RNA (tRNA) molecules are approximately 80 nucleotides in length. Their secondary structure includes four short double-helical elements and three loops (D, anti-codon, and T loops). Lineage: Eukaryota; Metazoa; Chordata; Mammalia; Carnivora; Felidae. The record is from Rfam by way of RNAcentral.
GCCUGGGUGGCUCAGUUGGUUGAGCGUCUGACUUCGGCUCAGGUCAUGAUCUCACGGUUCGUGAGUUCGAGCCCCGCGUCGGGCU